GUCGUGUUAUAGAUUUAGUAUUGGUCUUUCUCAUGUGCCAUAUCAAAUAUAAGAUGUGUUGCAUCAUAUCUAAUACUAUUCUGUCUAUUGUAAUGAGGGUCAUCUUGCUAUCAUAUACCAACAGCUAUUGCCCAUUGAUAGAGAGGAAACUUAAGCAUUCGGUCUCUAAAGGGACAUCGGAGGGUGAAGAAUGAUGUAAAGAACUAUCUAUAGCUCGGUUUUGGAUAAGAAUUUAAAAGUUGUGCAUAAUUAAAACAAAACCCAUUUCAGCAGUCAAUGGAACUUUACCUGACAUUGGAUCUCCUCAUUCUGAAGAAGAUUUACGGCGCCAUCACUGUGUUCAAUCAUGCUCUGGAUUACAGCGGGAUUACAAAGAGUAAAUGCAUCAGAUGCGUUAAAUCGUCUGAUCCGCUGUAAAUUUUGGGAGGGACUUCUGCCUUGGAUUCAUUGUUACUGCUUCAUCCGGGAGAAAUAUUCAUCUUGCCAAGUUGGAGUUAAGGCAGCAGUGCAUGAGAGACUAUUGAAACUGAUGUAAUUAGUUGGAUUUUGAUAUGUGUUAAGUCUGAUUAGGGUGAAAUUUGUAUCUUUUCUUGCUAAUAGAAGGAAGCAUAAUGGAUGAUUAUUUUUAUGCUAUUAGGGGGUUGAUUUAUGAUUCAAUAUAGGAUGUUUGCAUUUUGGAAGUUAACUGCUUCUUUCUAACUUACAUACAAAGUGAUAAAGGAAUUCAAGUUUUAGUUGUUGGAAUA
Beta vulgaris subsp. vulgaris (sugar beet) is the source of this 746-nucleotide long non-coding RNA. RefSeq lists it as uncharacterized. The record is from RefSeq and is a predicted model, not a curated record. The transcript is spliced from 3 exons. NCBI's taxonomy places the organism in Eukaryota, Viridiplantae, Streptophyta, Magnoliopsida, Caryophyllales, Amaranthaceae.